RNAcentral lists this ribosomal RNA (468 nucleotides) under uncultured bacterium. RNAcentral describes it as "partial 16S ribosomal RNA". It matches the Rfam family "Bacterial small subunit ribosomal RNA", at positions 28 to 507 of the family's 1533-position model. The record is from RNAcentral.
GACGAACGCUGGCGGCGUGCUUAACACAUGCAAGUCGAACGGAAAGGCCCUGCUUUUGUGGGGUGCUCGAGUGGCGAACGGGUGAGUAACACGUGAGUAACCUGCCCUUGACUUUGGGAUAACUUCAGGAAACUGGGGCUGAUACCGGAUAGGAGCUCCUGCUGCAUGGUGGGGGUUGGAAAGUUUCGGCGGUUGGGGAUGGACUCGCGGCUUAUCAGCUUGUUGGUGGGGUAGUGGCUUACCAAGGCUUUGACGGGUAGCCGGCCUGAGAGGGUGACCGGCCACAUUGGGACUGAGAUACGGCCCAGACUCCUACGGGAGGCAGCAGUGGGGAAUAUUGCACAAUGGGCGGAAGCCUGAUGCAGCAACGCCGCGUGCGGGAUGACGGCCUUCGGGUUGUAAACCGCUUUCGCCUGUGACGAAGCGUGAGUGACGGUAAUGGGUAAAGAAGCAUCGGCUAACUACGUG